This 253-nucleotide ribosomal RNA is filed under the name uncultured bacterium. RNAcentral describes it as "partial 16S ribosomal RNA". It matches the Rfam family "Bacterial small subunit ribosomal RNA", at positions 524 to 776 of the family's 1533-position model. The record is from RNAcentral.
UACGUAGGGUGCAAGCGUUAAUCGGAAUUACUGGGCGUAAAGCGUGCGCAGGCGGUUAUAUAAGACAGGUGUGAAAUCCCCGGGCUCAACCUGGGAACUGCAUUUGUGACUGCACAGCUGGAGUGCGGCAGAGGGGGAUGGAAUUCCGCGUGUAGCAGUGAAAUGCGUAGAUAUGCGGAGGAACACCGAUGGCGAAGGCAAUCCCCUGGGCCUGCACUGACGCUCAUGCACGAAAGCGUGGGGAGCAAACAGG